GAUGAACGCUGGCGGCGUGCCUAAUACAUGCAAGUCGAGCGAACAGACGAGGAGCUUGCUCCUCUGACGUUAGCGGCGGACGGGUGAGUAACACGUGGAUAACCUACCUAUAAGACUGGGAUAACUUCGGGAAACCGGAGCUAAUACCGGAUAAUAUAUUGAACCGCAUGGUUCAAUAGUGAAAGACGGUUUUGCUGUCACUUAUAGAUGGAUCCGAGCCGCAUUAGCUAGUUGGUAAGGUAACGGCUUACCAAGGCAACGAUGCGUAGCCGACCUGAGAGGGUGAUCGGCCACACUGGAACUGAGACGCGGUCCAGACUCCUACGGGAGGCAGCAGUAGGGAAUCGUCCGCAAUGGGCGAAAGCUUGACGGAGCAACGCCGCGUGAGUGAUGAAGGUCUUCGGAUCGUAAAACUCUGUUAUUAGGGAAGAACAAAUGUGUAAGUAACUAUGCACGUCUUGACGGUACCUAAUCAGAAAGCCACGGCUAACUACGUG
RNAcentral lists this ribosomal RNA (497 nucleotides) under uncultured bacterium. Its description in RNAcentral is "partial 16S ribosomal RNA". It matches the Rfam family "Bacterial small subunit ribosomal RNA", at positions 28 to 507 of the family's 1533-position model. The record is from RNAcentral.